RNAcentral lists this ribosomal RNA (1544 nucleotides) under human gut metagenome. RNAcentral's name for it is "bacterial LSU rRNA". It matches the Rfam family "Bacterial large subunit ribosomal RNA", at positions 1287 to 2925 of the family's 2925-position model. The record is from RNAcentral.
AGUGAGAAUGCCGGAAUGAGUAGCGAGAAUUAUGUGAGAAUCAUAAUGGCCGAAAGUCUAAGGUUUCCUGAGGAAGGUUCGUCCUCUCAGGGUUAGCCGGGAGCUAAGGUGAGGCGGAAACGCGUAGCCGAUGCACAUACGGUAGAAAUUCCGUAGCCUCCGAAGAUUUAAGCACAGGGACACUUUUGAAGGGCUGAGCCGGGCGUUGGUUGCCCCGGUCGAAAGGGACACGAUUGAGUGGAAGUCAGUUUGGAAAGAGGCGAGAAAAGCUGUGUGUAUAUGAAAGGAGCCCGUACCGCAAACCGACACAGGUAGACAGGAAGAAGAUUCUAAGGCCAGCGGGAGAAGGGUUGUUAAGGAACUCGGCAAGUUGACCCCGUAACUUCGGGAGAAGGGGUGCUUACGAAGGUAAGCCGCAGAGAAUAGGCCCAAGCGACUGUUUAGCAAAAACACAGCUCUAUGCUAAAUCGAAAGAUGACGUAUAUGGGGUGACACCUGCCCGGUGCUGGAAGGUUAAGAGGAGAUGUGAGAGCAUUGAAUUGAAGCCCCAGUAAACGGCGGCCGUAACUAUAACGGUCCUAAGGUAGCGAAAUUCCUUGUCAGGUAAGUUCUGACCCGCACGAAUGGUGUAACGAUUUGGGCACUGUCUCAACAACCCACCCGGCGAAAUUGUAGUACCGGUGAAGAUGCCGGUUACCCGCGACUAGACGGAAAGACCCCAUGGAGCUUCACUGCAGCUUAAUAUUGGAUUUCGGUAUUUCAUGUACAGGAUAGGUGGGAGACUGGGAAAUACAGGCGUCAGCUUGUAUGGAGUCAUUGUUGGGAUACCACUCUUGAGGUGCUGGAAUUCUAACCUGUGGCCUUGAAUCAGGUCAGGGGACAUUGUUAGGCGGGCAGUUUGACUGGGGCGGUCGCCUCCUAAAAGGUAACGGAGGCGCUCAAAGGUUCGCUCAGCAUGGACGGAAACCAUGCCAAAGAGUGUAAACGCAUAAGCGAGCCUAACUGCGAGACUGACGGGUCGAGCAGUAACGAAAGUUGGAGUUAGUGAUCCGGCGGUAUAUGUGAGUGGAAAUGCCGUCGCUCAACGGAUAAAAGCUACCCUGGGGAUAACAGGCUGAUCUCCCCCAAGAGUCCACAUCGACGGGGAGGUUUGGCACCUCGAUGUCGGCUCAUCGCAUCCUGGGGCUGUAUUCGGUCCCAAGGGUUUGGCUGUUCGCCAAUUAAAGCGGUACGCGAGCUGGGUUCAGAACGUCGUGAGACAGUUCGGUCCCUAUCUGUCGUGGGCGUUGGAGAUUUGAAAGGAGCUGUCCCUAGUACGAGAGGACCGGGAUGGACGCACCUCUGGUGCACCAGUUGUCACGCCAGUGGCACAGCUGGGCAGCUAUGUGCGGAACGGAUAAACGCUGAAAGCAUCUAAGCGUGAAGCCGCCCUUAAGAUAAGAUCUCCUUUAAGACCCCUUGUAGACUACGAGGUUGAUAGGUCUGAUGUGUAAGCACGGUGACGUGUUUAGCUUGCAGAUACUAAUCGGUCGUUCGCUUUUCCU